GAUAUUUGACAAUGGGGGCAACCCCGAUCCCGCCCUACCGCGUGUGUGAAGAAGGNCUNNGGCUUNUNAAGCACUUUAAGUUGNNNNNGAGGGCUGUAGGUUCGUACCCUGAAGUUUAGACGUUACACACAGAAUAAGCACCGGCUAACUGUGUGCCAGCAGCCGCGGUAAUACAGAGGGUGCAAGCGUUAAUCGGAAUUACUGGGCGUAAAGAUCGCGGAGGUGGUGCAGAAAGAUGGGUGUGAAAUCCCCGGGCUUAACCUGGGAACUGCUUUCAUAACUGCUGGGCGAGAGUACGGUAGAGGGUAGUGGAAGUUCCUGUUUAGCGGUGAAAUGCGUAGAUAUAGGAAGGAACACCAGUGGCGAAGGCGACUACCUGGACUGAUACUGACACUGAGGUGCGAAAGCGUGGGGAGCAAAA
RNAcentral lists this ribosomal RNA (421 nucleotides) under uncultured bacterium. RNAcentral's name for it is "partial 16S ribosomal RNA". It matches the Rfam family "Bacterial small subunit ribosomal RNA", at positions 359 to 773 of the family's 1533-position model. The record is from RNAcentral.